UUUAACCAAAUUUCAACUAAAAUGCAUAAAUUUCGACCAGAACAUUUGGAAUUCAACCACAACGCAUGGCAGUUCAACAAUUAAAAUAUAAAUCCAGCAAUUCUAACAAUCCAAAAAUACAAAACCUAACAAUUUCAACAAUAAGCAUACAUUCAAGCAAAACCCAACAAGGUGACCUAACUCUGCCUAUAAAUAAUGGCCGACGAGGAUUUGAUGGAGACAAUACGAAAUCUUAAUAUGUUGAUGGAGGAGUAAAAGAGAUGGUUGAAUGGAGACAAACCAAAUGUUGAAGUGUUGAAUCUACCCAGAAACAUCGAAUUUGUAUGUGUUGAACCUCGAGCUUGAAGACGUGAAAUGGGAGACGUAGGCUGAAGAUACGAGAGACUUGUAGAGUAGAGGGAAUCUUCUUCAAUGACUUAAGGAGAGAAAAGAAACAGUUGGAAAAUAGAGGCCAUUCAAGAAGAGAAACAGAGGAACCAUUCUUCUAUCCCUCAAAACUAGGCUAAAAUGAAAUAUUUAUCAAAAUUACAAAUCUUGCUGCCCAAAGCUGCUAAACAUCAUCAGAAGUAGAGAGAGGCUGACCAAAAAAAAGAGAGAAAAGAUGCCUAGGUGGUUCGAUCCGUGGCCCGUCUUCUUCAAGCGAGAGUUCAAUAGGAACUGGCCGUUCCUGGUCGGCUUUGCCGUAACUGGAGCCCUCAUCACCAAGUUCUCUCUUGGCCUUACAGAGGAGGAUGCGAAAAAUUCACCUUUCGUCCAGAGGCACAAGAGGUGAAUUGGAAACCCAAUAAAGUUAUCAGCAAUGCGCACAUUGCAGGAAAGGAAACAGAUUUGCUCUGUUUUCUUGGUCUAUAAACUCUAAUAACAGGAGAGAUGUUAUAGAUACUCCAAAUAUUUUUUUUUCUAUCAGAAGUUGCUUUUUCAAUAACAUUUAGCACCUUUAUUCAAUGUCUGUCUACCUGUUGUGGUUGAAUUGAUCAUCUUUUGGGUUGGCGUGUGAGGGAGGAUGGAAAAUCAGAUGGUUUGAUAUUUUGCUUUUGUGAGAAUUUGUCAUUUGGAAUUACAAUGUUUUGAAUCACUUUGGCAUGACCUUGUGAAGCACAAAACAUUAACCCUUAAAGAGGCUAUGUAAUAUUUCAUCUUAAAUUAUCAAGAGAUCUGUAAUUUUACUGUAAUCCAAUUUUUUUGAAGCCUUUAAAGCACCAGUCACACUAUGAUUGUUCGGGGACUCUGAAUUUUGUAGACAAAAUCAUACCCUUUUAGGUAUUCCUAAUAUGAUGUAAGCUCUUUGCCUCUCUUUAUUUGGUCUCCAUUUUGUUCUUGCCAUCUUCAUUAAGGUAUUGCAGCCUUUUUAGGAGCUUGUUUGACAUUGUUGUUUGAGUUUCUAUUGAGAAAAUAAUAUUUUUUUUCAAUGGGGUUUCUUAAAAAGUAAAUUUAAAACACGAUGCCUCAGUGUGAAACAAGUUUAGUGAGUUCUUUGGGUUAGCCACCUCUGUUCUUCGAGGAGAUCUAAGCUGUUUCUCUGCGGUGGUUGGUUGCAUUCUAGUUUGUCAUAUGGAGCUCUGCUAUCCAGCCGACUAGCUUUCAGCGGUCUUUGACGGCACUUUCCAGUCUGAUUUGCGAAUUGCUCUCAGCUUUCAAGCGGCCACAGAGGAGCUUAAUCAAGUGGGCCAUUCUUUUUUCAGUAAAAAAAAAAAAAAUUCCUUAAUUGAGGCGUGGAAUCUGAGUGCCUCAUAACAUAGUGUUUUGUUUGCUUUUUGUAAUGAUGCUGAAAUUGGUUCCAGAUGCCAAUUUGUAAUAUGUAAAUGAUUUUAAGAAUUGCCCGAGGCCCUUGUAAUGCUUUGGUAGCA
RNAcentral lists this unclassified non-coding RNA (1847 nucleotides) under Hevea brasiliensis (rubber tree). Lineage: Eukaryota; Viridiplantae; Streptophyta; Magnoliopsida; Malpighiales; Euphorbiaceae. The record is from RNAcentral.